This 28-nucleotide small RNA is filed under the name Bombyx mori (domestic silkworm). RNAcentral's name for it is "ovarian small RNA-13254". Lineage: Eukaryota; Metazoa; Arthropoda; Insecta; Lepidoptera; Bombycidae. The record is from RNAcentral.
CAGCUAUGCUUUGAAUUUGUGCCAUGCC